AAUAGAUACCCCGGUAGUCCACGCCGUAAACGAUGAGUGCUAAGUGUUAGGGGGUUUCCGCCCCUUAGUGCUGCAGCUAACGCAUUAAGCACUCCGCCUGGGGAGUACGGUCGCAAGACUGAAACUCAAAGGAAUUGACGGGGGCCCGCACAAGCGGUGGAGCAUGUGGUUUAAUUCGAAGCAACGCGAAGAACCUUACCAGGUCUUGACAUCCCACUGACCGCUAUGGAGACAUAGUUUUCCCUUCGGGGACAGUGGUGACAGGUGGUGCAUGGUUGUCGUCAGCCCGUGUCGUGAGAUGUUGGGUUAAGUCCCGCAACGAGCGCAACCCUUGAUCUUAGUUGCCAUCAUUUAGUUGGGCACUCUAAGGUGACUGCCGGUGACAAACCGGAGGAGGGUGGGGAUGACGUCAAAUCAUCAUGCCCCUUAUGACCUGGGCUACACACGUGCUACAAUGGACGGUACAAACGGUUGCCAACCCGCGAGGGGGAGCUAAUCCGAUAAAACCGUUCUCAGUUCGGAUUGUAGGCUGCAACUCGCCUACAUGAAC
This 550-nucleotide ribosomal RNA is filed under the name uncultured bacterium. RNAcentral describes it as "bacterial SSU rRNA". It matches the Rfam family "Bacterial small subunit ribosomal RNA", at positions 777 to 1325 of the family's 1533-position model. The record is from RNAcentral.